RNAcentral lists this transfer RNA (75 nucleotides) under bacterium. RNAcentral describes it as "tRNA-Glu". It matches the Rfam family "tRNA". Rfam says of the family: Transfer RNA (tRNA) molecules are approximately 80 nucleotides in length. The record is from RNAcentral.
GCCCCUAUCAUCUAGCCUGGUUUAGGAUGUUUGAUUUUCAAUCAAAAAACUCGGGUUCAAAUCCCGAUGGGGGCG